RNAcentral lists this ribosomal RNA (585 nucleotides) under uncultured bacterium. RNAcentral describes it as "partial 16S ribosomal RNA". It matches the Rfam family "Bacterial small subunit ribosomal RNA", at positions 355 to 1375 of the family's 1533-position model. The record is from RNAcentral.
UGGGGAAUUUUGGACAAUGGGCGAAAGCCUGAUCCAGCAAUGCCGCGUGUGUGAAGAAGGCCUUCGGGUUGUAAAGCACUUUUGUCCGGAAAGAAAUCCUCUGGGUUAAUACCUCGGGGGGAUGACGGUACCGGAAGAAUAAGCACCGGCUAACUACGUGCCAGCAGCCGCGGUAAUACGUAGGGUGCAAGCGUUAAUCGGAAUUACUGGGCGUAAAGCGUGCGCAGGCGGUUUUGUAAGACGGAUGUGAAAUCCCCGGGCUUAACCUGGGAACUGCAUUCGUGACUGCAAGGCUAGAGUAUGGCAGAGGGGGGUAGAAUUCCACGUGUAGCAGUGAAAUGCGUAGAGAUGUGGAGGAAUACCGAUGGCGAAGGCAGCCCCCUGGACCAAUACUGACGCUCAUGCACGAAAGCGUGGGGAGCAAACAGGAUUAGAUACCCUGGUAGUCCACGCCCUAAACGAUGUCAACUAGUUGUUGGGGAUUCAUUUCCUUAGUAACGUAGCUAACGCGUGAAGUUGACCGCCUGGGGAGUACGGUCGCAAGAUUAAAACUCAAAGGAAUUGACGGGGUCAUAGCUGUUUCCU